AUGGCGGCCACCACCAUGUCCCUCUCCUCCUCAGCCUUUGCCGGCAAGGCAGUGAAGAAUGUGUCAUUGUCGGCUCUCUUCGGUGAGGCACGUGUCACCAUGCGCAAGACUGUGGCAAAGGCAAAGCAAGUUGCCUCUAGCCGCCCAUGGUACGGGGCUGACCGCGUGCUCUACCUCUGCCCGCUAUCAGGUGAGCCACCGAGCUAUUUGACCGGUGAAUUCCCUGGUGACUAUGGGUGGGAUACCGCCGGGCUCUCAGCUGACCCCGAGACCUUCGCCAAGAACCGUGAGCUCGAAGUGAUCCACUGCCGAUGGGCUAUGCUUGGCGCGCUCGGUUGUGUCUUCCCUGAGUUGCUCUCCCGCAAUGGCGUCAAGUUUGGCGAGGCUGUUUGGUUCAAGGCCGGCUCCCAAAUCUUCAGCGAGGGCGGCCUCGACUAUCUCGGCAACCCCAGCCUCGUCCAUGCGCAAAGCAUCCUAGCCAUUUGGGCCUGCCAAGUUGUGCUCAUGGGUGCCGUUGAGGGGUACUGCGUUGCCGGUGGCCCACUUGGUGAGAUUGUUGACCCACUUUACCCUGGAGGAAGCUUUGACCCACUUUGCUUAGCCGACGACCCCGAGGCAUUCUCUGAGCUCAAGGUGAAGGAGAUCAAGAACGGUCGUCUUGCCAUGUUCUCCAUGUUCAGCUUCUUUGUUCAAGCCAUUGUCACCGGCAAGGGCCCACUCGAGAAUCUUGCUGACCAUAUCGCCGAUCCAGUCAACAACAACACAUGGGCAUUCACUACUAACUUCGUGCCUGGCAAGUAA
RNAcentral lists this ribosomal RNA (801 nucleotides) under Triticum aestivum (bread wheat). RNAcentral describes it as "partial small subunit ribosomal RNA". The record is from RNAcentral. Lineage: Eukaryota; Viridiplantae; Streptophyta; Magnoliopsida; Poales; Poaceae.